This 491-nucleotide long non-coding RNA is filed under the name Fukomys damarensis (Damara mole-rat). RNAcentral describes it as "lncRNA (ENSFDAG00000023239.1)". Lineage: Eukaryota; Metazoa; Chordata; Mammalia; Rodentia; Bathyergidae. The record is from RNAcentral.
CAUUUGCAUCCAGGGGAUUUCUGCUCCUCACACAGGUCCUAGAAAUUCACGAAUCAUGUUCUCCAGGGCCACCCAAGCUUGAAACCCAUUGAUCCAUGGUGUAGCCGGAACACUGUGAUCUCUGAUUGCAGCCAGAACUCUGGGUGCCCCGUCAAGAGGCCACGGGAUCUAAGGCUUUCCCUGUGGAGGGCUCCUUCUCUGACUCCCCACCACGGAUCCUCAUGUGUCUCAGACUGGGCCCGGCAAGUCUGCACUGACCUUCGGAUGGCAAUCUUCCUCGACUGCACACCAGUACCCUGCAGACUGCAGGCAACAAAGACAUGUGACAGAUAUAUCACAAUGUCAGCGGUCACUCAAUACCCAGCCAGGGUUUUCCCAACUGCAUUAGCAACUCAUGAGAUUGAUAAAGUGGAUCCAAAUGACUUAUAUUUCUGCAAUGAGAAAUGGAAGUGAACAAAAUACGGAAGAAAACAUCAGAGUGCAUCACAGCG